UAUGUCAAACAAUCAAACAAAAUAAGGGAUAUUUACUCUAUUGCUGCCUAUUGCUCUAUUACUGAUUCUCAUUCAUUUAUGUAUUUUUGUUCAUCAAAUUUAUUGUUAUGGGGAGGCAUUGACAAAAAUAAAGGCAAAUAAAAUAAGGGAUAUUGCUCAAUCUAAUUUUGAAUAGAAUGAUUUUACUAGGCUCUUAAUUCAGCUGUUACAACCAAAAUAUUGUCAAACAAUAAAACAAAAUAAGAGAUAAUUAAUAAUGAUUCCAACUUAAUGAAAAAAGGAUGUUGUCAACCCUCCAAAUAAACACUUGAAUAUCUGAAUUUCUUAGAACAUUCUGUGAUGAGAAACAAAAUAGGUUUUGCCUUUAAUCCUGAUGCCCACAAUAAACUUAUGAAAAAAAUAGCUAGGUUAAAGCGACGAAUGAAAAUGGUGGUAAGGAGAGGAGGAGCACAAAUUAUGUGUCUUCAAGACCUGCUUGAUAAACUUCAAGCUCAAGAACGACGUCUGCGAACAUUGUGUCAGUUCCGACAAGCUAGGUUUCGAAGGAAACAAUUAAUUAAUUUAAGAAGACUCUCCACCUUCCCUAACAAUACUACAAAUAAUGGUAUUUAGUUACUGUUAUUCUAUUUUGUUCUUAUGACUUAAAUUUAAAGAUGCCUUUAUUUUCUGUUUCUUUGGCCAGUUUGAUUUCCAAUUGUAUGGUUGCGUGUCAUAUAUAAUAUCUUUCAUGACCUUCUUUCCAUCAAA
Molecule: long non-coding RNA, 747 nt
Organism: Cicer arietinum (chickpea)
Lineage: Eukaryota; Viridiplantae; Streptophyta; Magnoliopsida; Fabales; Fabaceae
Source: RefSeq, a predicted model, not a curated record